UACGUAGGUGGCAAGCGUUGUCCGGAAUUAUUGGGCGUAAAGAGCAUGUAGGCGGGAAUCUAAGUCUGUUGUUAAAAUGCGGGGCUCAACCCCGUAUUGCGAUGGAAACUGGGUUUCUUGAGUGCAGGAGAGGAAAGGGGAAUUCCCAGUGUAGCGGUGGAAUGCGUAGAUAUCGGGAGGAAUACCAGUGGCGAAGGCGGCCUGCUGGGCUCUAACUGACACUGAGGCUCGAAAGCGUGGGUAGCAAACAGGAUUAGAUACCCCGGUAGUCCCUGA
Molecule: ribosomal RNA, 276 nt
Filed under: uncultured prokaryote
Description: partial 16S ribosomal RNA
Rfam family: Bacterial small subunit ribosomal RNA
Source: RNAcentral